Molecule: unclassified non-coding RNA, 214 nt
Filed under: Hevea brasiliensis (rubber tree)
Lineage: Eukaryota; Viridiplantae; Streptophyta; Magnoliopsida; Malpighiales; Euphorbiaceae
Source: RNAcentral
GCACUUACAGACUUGCAUUAACUUUGCAGCUUCUAAUUGUAUGCAAGUAGCUAAAGCCUUCAUAGUUGAAACCAUUACAUGAUAUUUCAAAAUUAAAUAGAAAAAUAUACAUCAACUUGGAUAAAUAUUACAGCAAAACCUUUAUAAUAGCCUAUGUUAAAGAAAAGCAAAGUAAAAGGCAAUUUUCUAUCGCCUCUGGAAAUUGAAGGCCUUG